GACGAACGCUGGCGGCGUGCCUAAUACAUGCAAGUGGAACGCUGAAGGAGGAGCUUGCUUCUCUGGAUGAGUUGCGUACGGGUGAGUAACGCGUAGGUAACCUGCCUGGUAGCGGGGGAUAACUAUUGGAAACGAUAGCUAAUACCGCAUAAUAGUAGAUGUUGCAUGACAUUUGCUUAAAAGGUGCAAUUGCAUCACUACCAGGUGGACCUGCGUUGUAUUAGCUAGUUGGUGGGGUAACGGCUCACCAAGGCGACGAUACAUAGCCGACCUGAGAGGGGGAUCGGCCACACUGGGACUGAGACACGGCCCAGACUCCUACGGGAGGCAGCAGUAGGGAAUCUUCGGCAAUGGACGGAAGUCUGACCGAGCAACGCCGCGUGAGUGAAGAAGGUUUUCGGAUCGUAAAGCUCUGUUGUAAGAGAAGAACGAGUGUGAGAGUGGAAAGUUCACACUGUGACGGUAUCUUACCAGAAAGGGACGGCUAACUACGUG
Molecule: ribosomal RNA, 495 nt
Filed under: uncultured bacterium
Lineage: Bacteria
Description: partial 16S ribosomal RNA
Rfam family: Bacterial small subunit ribosomal RNA
Source: RNAcentral